UGAAUACAAUACUGUAAGUCACUCUGGAUAAGAGCGUCUGCUAAAUGACAGAAA
Molecule: non-coding RNA, 54 nt
Organism: Salmo salar (Atlantic salmon)
Lineage: Eukaryota; Metazoa; Chordata; Actinopteri; Salmoniformes; Salmonidae
Source: Rfam